Photinus pyralis (common eastern firefly) is the source of this 679-nucleotide long non-coding RNA. RefSeq lists it as uncharacterized. The record is from RefSeq and is a predicted model, not a curated record. The transcript is spliced from 3 exons. Lineage: Eukaryota; Metazoa; Arthropoda; Insecta; Coleoptera; Lampyridae.
CUAAGCGUGUGUAGAUCCCGGCAUUCUGCCAAUUAAUGACAGUUUAGUGAAAAUAACUCUCCUUGCCUCAUUCCAUUACGGUUCACACCAACAAGGAAAUAAUUUUCAAAACCCGUAUAAUUAUAAUUUUAAAAUCGUAAGUGGAUACCGAAUGAAAAUUUUAGUUUGAAUUAUCCGUCGACAGCGCCAUCUUUGGGAUGGGCAUUUUUUGUCUACUAUCCUACGAGUAUUUUGAGGAAAAUCCAAAUCCACGUUUGGAUAUCAUUUCCACACAGAACGUGAUGCCUUUGUUGAAUAAUGAAAGGAAAGGACAUGCCGAAGAAAAAAACGUAUGCCGAAGGUUCUUUGAGGAAUAUUUGUUAACUGAGCAAAAUAAGUACAAGAACAAAAAUCGACCAAAUAUACAUGCAUUUGGAUUGCCCCAUUUUUUCACAUUAUAGUGACUUGGCACGCGCGCGCAAAUUUUGAGAGCAUCUCGUUCUGCAUCCAAAUUUGCCACAAAUUGGCGGUAUACCUACAAAUGAAGUACAAUGAUAAAUUAAUUGAUAAUAAUACUCUCUUAUACCACUUUAUUGCCGAUCUAAUAUCAGAGUUGGACUGGGUCACUGGGUCAACUGGGUCACCUGGGUCACUAAAUUAAACUGGGUCGCUGGGUCACGUCAUACUCUUUUCAGUUAGA